Long non-coding RNA from Carassius auratus (goldfish), 1589 nucleotides. NCBI's taxonomy places the organism in Eukaryota, Metazoa, Chordata, Actinopteri, Cypriniformes, Cyprinidae. The record is from Ensembl.
GGAACUCAAUGCGAGCGCUAAUUACGUGAUUGAUGGUUGUUCAUGUCUAUGCAAUUUAACGUAUUGCUGUAAACCUGGGAUUCCAUAUUUCCAUUCUCUUAAACUCAUCUUUUCCUAACUUUCGAUCUUCCUGCAACUUGUGUGAAUGUGUGAGUGCGUGCGUUUAUGUGUUAGAUUAGCUUAUAUGUCUUAGAUUUAUCUAAUAAAGCCUUAUUCAUAUUGAAAAGAGAAGUAUCUUGUGUUUUGUGCUUACAAGUUAAUGUCUUAAACUGCCGAUCUUGUUACUGUGCUAAUUGGUAGUGUUUUCACUAUAGUUUGGAUAUUAGUAUCCAGCGUAGAUUUGAUGUUAAACGGCUCGUUCAGUGAAUCACAGUGAUCAGGCGUGAAACAGUGAUUCUGUUCAAAUUCCCUUUAAAAUCUUAAAUGAUUCCCUUUAAGCUAAAUUGACCUGUUUCCCUUACAUUUUUUUCUCGUUAUUUGUGAAGUGUAUCUAUCUUCGUAUAAUAUAUAUAGAUAUAUGAAGAGACAGUAGAUCAUCUUUUACUCGCUUUAUUUCAGCAUGAAGCAACCGCAUACACGUGAAUCUCUCUUGUGUUAUCUUCCUGUAUAUCCGUCACGCAUACGUAAGCUCUGACGUAUGCCCAAUCACAGAGCAUAACUGGUUCACGUGACAUUAUUAUUAUUAUUAUUGUUGAUAUUAUUCUUUUUAUUUAUUUAUUUUAUGAAAGGGGGACCUGGCUACACCUUUGCUACCAUACACCUGAUGGAUACUGACUGUAAAAUGGCAAUCAUAGUUCGAGCGCUCAGUGUGGGGACAGAAGAUGGAACAGAUGUGUGUUAGUGCACCAGCCUUGAUGAAGCUUCAUAACAGCCUUCUGGAUGUAUUCUGCUUUCAACAUUGCAUAUACACCACAACUGAGAAAGACACUGACUUUCCUUCAGAGGGACAUUGUCAAAAUUAGAAGAUGAGACAAGCUCUGUCAGUAACUUUACUUGUAUUUCUUGUAUUAGAUCCUCAUGCCUUGACUGUACCAUUGCCCAAAGUGCACUCGAAGGACAUUCACUCUUUUGAAGUUAACUCAACAUGUUGGAGUGGUAUGGUUUACUGGAAGUCUGUCAGUCCAGAUGUGAAGAAGAAAUACAGAGUGGAGCUGGAGCUCAGCAGAUGUGUGAUGCUGUAGAUACUGUGGUCUUCACAGCUUUCUAUUCAGACAAAGAAAACAGAAGUUUGCUGGAUUCUGUUCUAUGGACUGCUACUACAGAAUGAAUGAAUGAAUUAAUGAAUGGGUGGUUUAUCUAUCUAUCUAUCUUUAUCUAUCUAUCUUUAUCUAUCUAUCUUUUUACUUGAAUUGGUGACUGAAACUGAAAGCUAAAUAAAUGUUUUAGUGGAUAAAGCUGUGUCUGUUUGCUUAAUUGGUUAAUGUCACUUAAAACAAGGUUACUAAACUCUUCAGACUAAUUUUUAAAUUUAUUAGUUUUUAAUUUUUACUAAUUUUUCUUUAUCAGGCAAAACCUGGUUUUCUAGUGUAACACUUUACGAUAAAGGUUCAUUUGUUAACUGAUGUAUUAACUAAAAUUAACUAUGAGCA